Molecule: long non-coding RNA, 874 nt
Organism: Cebus imitator (Panamanian white-faced capuchin)
Lineage: Eukaryota; Metazoa; Chordata; Mammalia; Primates; Cebidae
Exons: 4
Source: RefSeq, a predicted model, not a curated record
CAAUCCAGGCUGGGGAACAGAGUGAGACCGUGUCUCAAAAAAAAAAAAGGGGGGGGCCUGACAUACAGUAGGUGCUUAUUAACUAGUAUUAGGGAGCACUGUGGCACCAUCUGCUUGUGUGUGUGAAGGAAAGCUGGAAGGAUGUGGUCCCUUGGCAUCUUCCCCUCAGCCAGGCUUCAUUAUGGCCCAAGAACCACGAUGAGGCUGGAAAUGAGGCUGGAAAUGGAGGCAGCACUUGCCUGUCCCUGCCCAAUUUCUCCUGUGGAGGAGGACUAGAUGGCACACAGAGGAGUCCAAUUUCAAUCCGCCACAUUUCCACCUGGGGCAAACUUUAUAUUCUGCCUGUCCCAAUCCAACCAACCAUGAGAGCAAACUGUUGAGCCAAGACAUCACUGCUGGUCCCAAAGGACUGCCGGUGUCCCGUCACCACGUUGGUCAACAGGACCCGCCGAGACAAGCCUGGUGGAGACAGAGAUGGGCUGGGACCAGGCACAGGACCAGGCACCAGGGAUCCGGAAGCUGCAGAGCAUGCCAGGCCGGUCUAUUCCUGCUAAGAGAUUGGAGAAUGUAAGGUGGGGCUACCCUUUAGGCGGGCCAGGGACCACCGGGUUUGCAAAACAUCCAAAUAUGCGAUCGCUGCUCAGAAGGUCUAUCCCUUUGACCCCAUUCUGGGUUUUGUGGUUGCAAGAGAGGGAGACUCAGCUGGGAUGCCCGGCUUGCAAGCGGUCAUUCUGAAAAUGAAUGUGUGUAACAUUCUCAGUAGUUGUGUUCGCAGUACUAAUACUACUGAUAAUCCGGGAGGUAGUAUGCUGUCGCAGGUUAGGGGGUUCCAAUCCUCCAUCACCUAUCAGCUACGUGAUCUCAAGCAAAGUGU